Molecule: ribosomal RNA, 659 nt
Filed under: uncultured rumen bacterium
Lineage: Bacteria
Description: bacterial SSU rRNA
Rfam family: Bacterial small subunit ribosomal RNA
Source: RNAcentral
UUGAGUUUACUUAGGUAUUCUUAGUGGCGGACGGGUGAGUAACACGUGAGCAACCUGCCUUUGAGAGAGGGAUAGCUUCUGGAAACGGAUGGUAAUACCUCAUAACAUACAGACAUCGCAUGAAGUUUGUAUCAAAGAUUUAUCACUCAAAGAUGGGCUCGCGUCUGAUUAGAUAGUUGGUGAGGUAACGGCUCACCAAGUCGACGAUCAGUAGCCGGACUGAGAGGUUGAACGGCCACAUUGGGACUGAGACACGGCCCAGACUCCUACGGGAGGCAGCAGUGGGGAAUAUUGCACAAUGGGGGGAACCCUGAUGCAGCGAUGCCGCGUGGAGGAAGAAGGUUUUCGGAUUGUAAACUCCUGUCUUAAAGGACGAUAAUGACGGUACUUUAGGAGGAAGCUCCGGCUAACUACGUGCCAGCAGCCGCGGUAAUACGUAGGGAGCGAGCGUUGUCCGGAAUUACUGGGUGUAAAGGGAGCGUAGGCGGGAUCGCAAGUCAGAUGUGAAAUACAUGGGCUUAACCCAUGGGCUGCAUUUGAAACUGUGGUUCUUGAGUGAAGUAGAGGUAAGCGGAAUUCCUGGUGUAGCGGUGAAAUGCGUAGAUAUCAGGAGGAACACCGGUGGCGAAGGCGGCUUACUGGGCUUUUACUGACGCUGA